RNAcentral lists this ribosomal RNA (625 nucleotides) under uncultured Verrucomicrobiota bacterium. RNAcentral's name for it is "bacterial SSU rRNA". It matches the Rfam family "Bacterial small subunit ribosomal RNA", at positions 71 to 680 of the family's 1533-position model. The record is from RNAcentral. Lineage: Bacteria; Pseudomonadati; Verrucomicrobiota.
UCGCUGUAGCAAUACAGUGGAAAAUCCAGUGGCGAACGGGUGCGUAACACGUGGGCAAUCUGCCUUAAAGUGUGGGAUAGCUCGGCGAAAGCCGAAUUAAUACCGCAUGUGGCUACUGGAGACAUCUUCGGGACGCUAAAGGUGGCGCAAGCUACCGCUUUUUGAGGAGCCCGCGGCCUAUCAGCUUGUUGGUGAGGUAACGGCUUACCAAGGCGUUGACGGGUAGCUGGUCUGAGAGGACGACCAGCCACACUGGGACUGAGACACGGCCCAGACACCUACGGGUGGCAGCAGUCGAGAAUUUUGACAAUGGGGGAAACCCUGAUCGAGCGACGCCGCGUGGAGGAUGAAGGUCUUCGGGUUGUAAACUCCUGUCAUUUGGGAACAAGGCGUAGGUAUUAACUGUACGUGCGUUGAUAGUACCAGAAGAGGAAGAGACGGCUAACUCUGUGCCAGCAGCCGCGGUAAUACAGAGGUCUCAAGCGUUGUUCGGAUUCAUUGGGCGUAAAGGGUGUGUAGGUGGCGCGCUAAGUCGGGUGUGAAGUUUCGGAGCUUAACUCCGAAACUGCAUUCGAUACUGGCGUGCUUGAGGACUGGAGAGGAGACUGGAAUUCUCGGUGUAGCA